This 257-nucleotide long non-coding RNA is filed under the name Homo sapiens (human). Its description in RNAcentral is "non-protein coding lnc-IMMP2L-1:12". The record is from RNAcentral. Lineage: Eukaryota; Metazoa; Chordata; Mammalia; Primates; Hominidae.
AAUUGUCAACUCUCUGUGUUCUAAGACGAUACCCUGGCCUUGACUCAGUACAACCUAGGACUGUAAGUCCCAUCAUGUCUAUGGACUUCAGUUUCCAGACAUGAAACACAAGAGGCUUGGACGAGAUUAGAAAUCAAGAACUCGAAUGCGUAUGGUCAGAGCCACGAGAGUUUCCAUAAAGGAACACAACCAUGUGGACAACUUGAUUAUGCCCUACAAAACUCCAUCCAUGUAUGAUGUGACUUGCUCCUACAUGC